This 1040-nucleotide ribosomal RNA is filed under the name uncultured bacterium. RNAcentral's name for it is "bacterial SSU rRNA". It matches the Rfam family "Bacterial small subunit ribosomal RNA", at positions 8 to 1056 of the family's 1533-position model. The record is from RNAcentral.
AGAGUUUGAUCAUGGCUCAGGACGAACGUUGGCGGCGCGCUUAAUGCAUGCAAGUCGAGGGAGAAGCGUUGGUUCCGUAAGGUUCCGACGUGGAAACCGGCGAACGGGUGCGUAACACGUGAGAAACCUGCCCCCCAGACCGGGAUAGCCCAGGGAAACUUGGAUUAAUACCGGAUACUCUCUCAGGACCGCAUGGUCCUGUGAGGAAAGGUCCGCUGCUGGGGGAUGGUCUCGCGGCCUAUCAGGUUGUUGGUGAGGUAACGGCUCACCAAGCCGAAGACGGGUAGCUGGUCUGAGAGGACGAUCAGCCACACUGGAACUGAGACACGGUCCAGACUCCUACGGGAGGCAGCAGCAGGGAAUAUUGCACAAUGGGCGAAAGCCUGAUGCAGCGACGCCGCGUGCGGGAUGAAGGCCUUCGGGUUGUAAACCGCUUUCAGGAGGGAAGAAACUGACGGUACCUCCAGAAGAAGCUCCGGCCAACUACGUGCCAGCAGCCGCGGUAAUACGUAGGGAGCGAACGUUGUCCGGAAUUAUUGGGCGUAAAGGGCUCGUAGGCGGUUCAAUAAGUCGGUCGUGAAAGCCCGGGGCUCAACCCCGGGAUGCCGGUCGAAACUGUUGUGACUUGAGUUCGGUAGAGGUGAGUGGAAUUCUCAGUGUAGCGGUGGAAUGCGCAGAUAUUGAGAGGAACACCAUUAGCGAAGGCGGCUCACUGGGCUGAUACUGACGCUGAGGAGCGAAAGCGUGGGGAGCAAACAGGAUUAGAUACCCUGGUAGUCCACGCCGUAAACGAUGAACACUAGGUGUAGCGGAUCGAUUCACAUCUGCUGUGCCGUAGCUAACGCAUUAAGUGUUCCGCCUGGGGAGUACGGCCGCAAGGCUAAAACUCAAAGGAAUUGACGGGGCCCCGCACAAGCGGCGGAGCAUGCGGCUUAAUUCGAUGCAACCCGAAGAACCUUACCUGGGUUUGACAUCAUGGGUCUAGCUGUGGAAACACAGUGUGCUUGCGCGCCCAUGACAGGUGGUGCAUGGCUGUCGUC